Molecule: transfer RNA, 73 nt
Filed under: Felis catus (domestic cat)
Lineage: Eukaryota; Metazoa; Chordata; Mammalia; Carnivora; Felidae
Rfam family: tRNA
About the family: Transfer RNA (tRNA) molecules are approximately 80 nucleotides in length. Their secondary structure includes four short double-helical elements and three loops (D, anti-codon, and T loops).
Source: Rfam by way of RNAcentral
GCCUGGCUGGCUCAGCCGGUGGAGCCUGCGACUCUUGAUCUCGGAGUUGUGAGUUCGAGUCCCAUGUUGGGUG